AGCGGCGAACGGGUGAGUAACACGUGUGUGAUCUGCCCUGUACUUCGGGAUAAGCCUGGGAAACUGGGUCUAAUACCGGAUAUGACCUUACAUCGCAUGGUGUUUGGUGGAAAGAUUUAUCGGUACAGGAUGGGCCCGCGGCCUAUCAGCUUGUUGGUGGGGUAAUGGCCUACCAAGGCGACGACGGGUAGCCGGCCUGAGAGGGCGACCGGCCACACUGGGACUGAGACACGGCCCAGACUCCUACGGGAGGCAGCAGUGGGGAAUAUUGCACAAUGGGCGAAAGCCUGAUGCAGCGACGCCGCGUGAGGGAUGACGGCCUUCGGGUUGUAAACCUCUUUCGACAGGGACGAAGCGCAAGUGACGGUACCUGUAGAAGAAGCACCGGCCAACUACGUGCCAGCAG
RNAcentral lists this ribosomal RNA (406 nucleotides) under Nocardia farcinica. RNAcentral describes it as "bacterial SSU rRNA". It matches the Rfam family "Bacterial small subunit ribosomal RNA", at positions 94 to 514 of the family's 1533-position model. The record is from RNAcentral. Lineage: Bacteria; Bacillati; Actinomycetota; Actinomycetes; Mycobacteriales; Nocardiaceae.